GCAGCAACUAGGAAAGACUGUAUUAGAGUAGUUUUCAGAAGUGACACACCUAGGAAGUAUGCCUGUAAAUAUAUUGAAAGAGGGAUAUGGAAUUACAAAAGCCCUGAAGGAAUUGAGGAAAAAGUAAGUGAGGAGUGGAGAGUUAAGUGGAGCAGAAUUCCAAAAUCAUUAAUUUGCCUGGUUUUAGAUGUUCUGCAAUAAUUAUCCUUCAGACUUCACUGGAGAAUAGUGUUAGGAACCCCACUUCAUUCUGGUACUCAAACAACCACUUAACUCUUGUGGAGUGCUUUGUUUUUAACUGGUGACUUGCUGCAAGUGAUGCAGCCCUGGAAACAAGUCACACUGCAUGAGAUGGACAGAACUUGAAGAGCCAUGGUUAGUUUGUAAAACAAAAUAUCAAGUUACUGCAUUUUAAAAUAACUGAGGAAAAGGGCAAGGUAGUGAACUGCUCUAAGUGAAAAGGUGUUAGUAAAAAUUGUGUUAACAUGCAGAUCAGGAAAGAGACCGAGAAAUUGCCAUACUGGAUGAUAUCAGUCUCCCCUCUAAUUUCAUUAUCUGUUAGUGGACAGUACCAGCUACUUCAGAUGAAGUUGCAAGUAACUCCUUACUAGACAAUUAUAAUAAAAUAACCUGCCAUUACAGGAAGCAUCAUCUUAGCCCUCUACAGAGGAGGAUGUUUUAUGCUUUGAAGCAAGUGUUGCAUCCCUUCCAAAAUUACUUUGGAUGUUCUUGUUAUAUCAAUACCCAUCCUGUUUUUGAAUCCUACUCCAUUCUUGGCCUUCCUAUAGUGGCAAUGAGUUUCACAGGCUAAUUGUGCAUCAUUAAAAAUUUCCCAUAUUUUCUAGUUUUACUAGAAUGUUGAAUGUGUAAUACCUUUAGCUUUUCAGUCUCUGACUUGUAUUCCAUGUUAUAAAAAUUGAACAUCAGUCUGAGCCAGCUGGCUACAGUUUGUCUCCCUGUGCUAAUCUUUCUAGUAAUAAACUGAGAAUGUAGUCUAGUGUCCGUGGCCUGGAAUGCAUUGAGAUUUGGCGUGCUAAAACACUGAGGAAUUUGUGUUUUUUUGCUCUGAGGAUUUGUCAGGAAUUGUAGAUGGGAAUACUCCUGACUAAUGCCUUAACACCUUUUUUUUUUACAUAUACCCACCAAUUCUGUUUCUUAUUAUAGUUGAUUAAAAUAAUCCUCCAAAGAAACUGAAUUACAAUUUAAUACCAAAAAAAGAACAGGAGUACUUGUGGCACCUUAGAGACUAACAAAUUUAAUACCACAUCAUCUAGACUGAUUUAUAUCUUAUUGAUUUAAUUGCCUUUGUUUACCAUGGCAUUGUUGUGUGGUGGUGGUCAGUGUUGCUACAGUUAAGGGUGAAAUGGCAAUACAAGAUGUGCAAGAAGUAGUAAAGUUGAAGACUUUAUCAAGUUACAAUAAUCAACUAAAGUUAAUGCUUCCCUUUAAUCUGAAGCCUCAACUCCAGGAAGCUGUUUCCAAGAGGCAUUUUGCUUAGGUUGGCAUUUUGACCAUAGCUCAGAUGGGAAUUGGAUCUGUGUUUUUUCAUGUGAUUAGCUGCGUACUGUAUCUGCCAGUCACAGCUGGUAGUAUAUCAUUGUAUAGGUAGAAUUUUUCAACUUCUUUUGGAAUUAAUAAUUUACAGAAGUCCUUACCUUGAUAGUCUCAUUUUUGCCAAUUCGGAUAUUUGCAGGGCUUUUAGAUAUGUAUGGUUUGAUUUAUUUUGUUACACUAUUUUAUGAGAUUGUGUAUAUCUUUUAAUUGGUGGUAUCGGGUGUGAAACUGAGAUUUUCUGUUAUGGAAUUUGCAUAUUAAGUUAUUGCCAGGAUAACAGAAAGCCAGGCAUUUACCUUGUUUUGGAUGCUAAAUUGGCCUCAGCCUUUGAGAUAAGUGGCUUCUAUAUUCUGCAUGUCCUACAAUGACAAAUGUAUGCUCUUUAGUUUCACUUCUAUUUAGCCAAAUAGACAAUCAUGAUUUAAUAUUAAGUAAAAUGCAUAAAAUUCUGUAAAUGCCAAACACUCUGCUAUAUUCUCUUUCAUGAGUUUCAAGAGACAAUGAAAUAGUGACUAAGACUAUUCUUUGUUUCUUUAUCCUUGACUCCUUGUGAUCAGACAUUGAUUGAUUCUGCCAGGUAGAACCUAAAGUGAAGUUAGAAGUAACUGUAAGGGUUCUCUUGCUUCAGUGUUGAAAUACUAAUUUUUUGUGUCCAAGACCAAUAGACCCUUUAACCAGGGUCUGAAGUAUGGUA
Long non-coding RNA from Dermochelys coriacea (leatherback sea turtle), 2248 nucleotides. RefSeq lists it as uncharacterized. NCBI's taxonomy places the organism in Eukaryota, Metazoa, Chordata, Testudines, Dermochelyidae. The record is from RefSeq and is a predicted model, not a curated record. The transcript has 2 exons.